This 446-nucleotide ribosomal RNA is filed under the name uncultured bacterium. RNAcentral's name for it is "partial 16S ribosomal RNA". It matches the Rfam family "Bacterial small subunit ribosomal RNA", at positions 338 to 795 of the family's 1533-position model. The record is from RNAcentral.
CCUACGGGUGGCAGCAGUCGAGAAUCAUUCACAAUGGGGGAAACCCUGAUGGGGCGACGCCGCGUGGGGGAAUGAAGGUCUGCGGAUUGUAAACCCCUGUCAUGUGGGAGCAAAUUAAAAAGAUAGUACCACAAGAGGAAGAGACGGCUAACUCUGUGCCAGCAGCCGCGGUAAUACAGAGGUCUCAAGCGUUGUUCGGAAUCACUGGGCGUAAAGCGUGCGUAGGCUGUUUCGUAAGUCGUGUGUGAAAGGCGCGGGCUCAACCCGCGGACGGCACCUGAUACUGCGAGACUAGAGUAAUGGAGGGGGAACCGGAAUUCUCGGUGUAGCAGUGAAAUGCGUAGAUAUCGAGAGGAACACUCGUGGCGAAGGCGGGUUCCUGGACAUUAACUGACGCUGAGGCACGAAGGCCAGGGGAGCGAAAAGGAUUAGAUACCCCAGUAGUC